AACUACACCACCUGCUCUCAAGAUGCGUGCAUGUCGUCUUGUGGCGGCAAAGUCAACUCUUGCGGCACGUGUUGACUCGAUCAGAGGUGAUCCAUCUGGCAAACAAGGAAGAGCAUAUCGUGAAGAAAUUCGUAAGAAGAUUGAAAAAUGGCAAGAACCACCCCCCCGCAAAGCAACCUAAACCAUUUCCGGUCCCUGAUUCUGAACCUAAGAAGAAACGAGGUGGUUGCCGCCUUAGGAAAAUGAAGGAAAGAUAUGCUAUUACCGAUAUGCGGAAACUGGUCAACAGAAUGCAGUUUGGAGUGCCUGAAGAAAGUUCAUUGGGGGAUGGGUUAGGAGAAGGAUAUGGUAUGCUUGGUCAAGCUGGAAACGGGAGGUUGCGUGUGUCGGUUGGUCAAAGCAAGCUUGCUGCCAAAGUCGCUAAAAAGU
Molecule: long non-coding RNA, 429 nt
Organism: Helianthus annuus (common sunflower)
Lineage: Eukaryota; Viridiplantae; Streptophyta; Magnoliopsida; Asterales; Asteraceae
Exons: 3
Source: RefSeq, a predicted model, not a curated record